CCGCCAAGACUCAGGCGCCCUCCCCGGGAGCCCGUGUGCAGAAAAGGGGCGAGGAAGCGUGCGCCGCUCUACCCAUCCCUUCUCCUUCAGGAGCGCUGCCCCUCCCCGGCCCUUGGAAGCUGUGGGCCGCGGAGGCCCGCGGGACCUGCACACAGUAGGGCUUCGCAAAGCAACUGCUCAGCUGAGCCGCCGGAGACACCCCGCGGGGCCAGGCCCUUAUAAGGGACAGCCGUGCUCAUGAAGAUGGAGGGGAACGCGCUUUGGGGUCAGAGUGCCCUGGGGACAUGAGGGACGCGAAGAUGAGACUCAGCACCGUCAAGUGCCUCCUGGGUGCCAGUCGUCUAACCCUGGAGACCCCGUGGUUAAAGGUCUUGGAACGCGAAUGUGGUUGCCUCCUGGAGUGCUGGCACAGGCCGGGUCCUAAGGAUGUGUAGGGGACCCUACUCCAUGUCCAUAUAUCUGCGGUGGACAGUGGGAAGCGGGAGUCAUCUACAGACCAGACUGCCAGACCCAGCCCGAGGAGGGCCGCCCAGCCUUGCAGCUCUGACCCGCCUGGCUGCUUGCCCGUGGUUCAGAUGAUUGGAAAAUCAAUAGUAGUUCCUCUUCAGACCAAGAGUGGGGCGCCCUCUUUCUUUAUCCUGCCGCUCUCCAUCAUAAACAGUCCCUGUUCUUCGCAGUUGUUGCUCUCCACCUGACCCUCUCAAACAAGGUCUGCACACCUUGUCUCAGCUUAUGCCUCAAGGUCUCCUCUCCCAAUCCUUCUGCCUCUGCCUCCCACCUGGGAUAAAAGACACACACCACCAUGCUCUGGUCUUUUGGUUGCACUGGGAAUCAAACCUGAGCCUCCCGUGCGGUCCUCGCCUGCAGAACACAGAGUCUUAGCAGCGUACACCACUGCAGCUGGGGCUCAAUCCUUCUUAACAGACUGUCACACAGAAUUUUCUGAACUUGUGCAAAAUGCUUAACCCUAAUUGCAAACUUCAAACUUUAUUAUCUGAUGAUAGGUUUGAUAUAUUAAAAGAAUGAUACAAAAAUACAGUAAGUGUCCAUAAAGUUCAUCCCCUGGGGAGUGAUUUCUCACUUUCCCUCUCUGUCUCUCUCCAGCGAACACAUAAGCUCUACGACAAAAACCUUUAAAAAAAAAAAAAAACUAUAUUACAAAGCAAAACAUGAUAAAUGUCAGAAAGAAGUUACAAAAUGCUGAAAGGAGAAGCUAUAAUUGAUAGGAAGACUCAUGCGAAAUUUCACUGUGGAGUUGCAUGUGAGCUGGGCCUUAGGAAGUCCUUAAAGGCUGAGGAGGUUUUAGACAGCCAGGAAGCACAGGACAGGUAUUCCUGGAGGAGGGAGUGGUGUGAGCAAAGACGUAAAGGCCGGAGAGCACAAGCUCUUUCUGGCUAGUGCACCAGGUGAGCUACAGCAGUAGGUCCCAACGCCAGCAGUAACAUGAAAUCAUCUGAACCCCAGGACCAGCCUCAUGGCCUACUGGUUACAGAAACCAAUCACACAUCACCAACCACAUGGUUAGAAUCCUGGCCCUGGUGGCUUGAAAACACCCCAGGCUCUUGUGCAUGUG
Long non-coding RNA from Tupaia belangeri chinensis (Chinese tree shrew), 1573 nucleotides. RefSeq lists it as uncharacterized. The record is from RefSeq and is a predicted model, not a curated record. NCBI's taxonomy places the organism in Eukaryota, Metazoa, Chordata, Mammalia, Scandentia, Tupaiidae. The transcript is spliced from 3 exons.